RNA transcript from Brassica rapa (field mustard), 6945 nucleotides. It is a transcript of the gene named aspartic proteinase CDR1-like, with no coding region annotated. Lineage: Eukaryota; Viridiplantae; Streptophyta; Magnoliopsida; Brassicales; Brassicaceae. The record is from RefSeq and is a predicted model, not a curated record.
UGACAAAUAAGGAGAAUUAACAAUUACGGCUAAAGUCCACAUACUGUAUAAAUAUGUGCAUGGAUGAUCAAGAAGUUGCAUUGUCUCUCAAAACCUAAAAACUAUUACUCGAUCACCAUGUCUUUCGCAACCAGAAUGAUGACCAUUAUACUCUCUCUUCAAAUCAUUACAGCUUUUCUCUUUAUUACCGCCACAGCCUCAUCACCUCCCAGCGGCUUCACCAUGGACCUAAUCCACCGUCGCACUAAUUCAUCUUCUUCUCGACGCUCUAAUGUUGAUGGUCAACUCCGAUCAUCUCCUUACGCCGACGUCUUCUUUGAAACGUCCGAGUAUCUUAUGAAACUCAAAAUCGGUACACCUCCUGUCGAGAUCGACGCAGUCUUAGACACAGGAAGCGAGAUCAUAUGGACACAAUGUCUGCCUUGUCUUAACUGCUACAACCAACGCAAUAUAAUAUUCGACCCUUCGAAAUCCUCGACCUACAAAGCGAGAACAUGCAAUACCCGUAACCCUUCUUGUAACUAUAAUUUGGUCUACGGAGACCAAAGCUACACCAUAGGAAGCUUAGCAACCGAGACCGUCACCAUCCAAUCCACUUCUGGCCACUCCUAUGUAAUGCCUAAAACCGUUAUUGGAUGUUCGCACAACAGCUCAGGGUUUGUAACAACCGCUUCGGGCAUUGUUGGUCUAAGUUGGAUGUCUUUAUCUCUCAUCUCUCAGAUGGGUAAAGACAUGCUCGGUGCCUUUUCUUACUGCUUUUCGCCUGAGGGAACUAGUAAGAUCAGCUUUGGAAGUAAUGCUAUUGUGUCGGGAGAUGGGACUGUAUCAACACCUAUGUUUACGAAGACGGAGAAACCUGGUUUCUAUUACCUAAACCUAGACGCCGUCAGCGUUGGGGAGGCUCGCGUUGAAACAUUGGGGACUCCGUUUCAAGCCGUAGACGGGAACAUGUUGAUAGACUCUGGAACCACCUUCACCUACUUGCCCGCUAGCUACUGCAGCCUAGUGAGGGAGUCGGUGGAAAAGGUUGUGACUGCGGAACUAUUUACUACCUCCGACGGCACGCAUUGCUACAAAACGAAGACGAUGGAUAUCUUCCCAGUGAUCACAAUGCAUUUCUCUGCGGGUGCAGAUCUUGUUUUGGAUAGAAACAAUACUUAUAUGGCUAACGGAGAAACCAUUUGUCUGAUGAUUAUGUGUAGUCCAAUGACACCAGUUGCUGAAGCGGCCGUUUUUGGUAACAGAGCACAGAACAACUUCUUGGUUGGUUAUGAUCGUUCUUCAUUACAGUUUUCGUUUAAACCCACCGAUUGUGGAGUUACAGAAGACAAAAAACCAAGAGACUCAACUUCUGCAGCAUCGUUUUCACAGUUUAACAUUAAGUUUGUUUUAUUUAUAGUUGUCCUUUCACUAAUAAGACUAUAGAGAAUGGGUUUGUUUUAUUUUUAUAUGUCCUUUCAUUAAUAAUACCCUAGAUAAUGGAUUUGUUUUAUUUAUAUUUAGUCGUUUCUAAUAAUACCAUAGAGAAUGGAUUUGUUUUAUUUAGUUUGUCCUUUCAUUAAUAAGACCAGAGAGAAUGGAUUUGUUUUAACCAGCAUCAAUAUGCGAAUGAGUAGUUGAGUCGCACUCAUAAACGAAUAACAUAUGACCUUUUAGACAUCUCCGCCAUAAGUUUUCUCGCCUUUUCCAUUGAUGAUGUAGGAAAAUACUCCAUCUGAACCGAUACACACAUCCUUAAGCUUACAUCCAACAACUCUAAAUCUAGACCACAAGAUACAAGGCAAUCCUCUAAAUGCAUAAUUAUUGUUCAAGAGUUCCUCAUCUAUGUUAAACAUUAUAAAUAGCAUGAAGAAUCAUCACCAAAUGCAAAUUAAUAACCCCAUAUAAUACCCUUUCGAUGACUGAUUACAAUACUAUGAUUGAGAUAAUAAGCGGCAUGAUUCCAGUAUACAACAAGUUCAUCUUCUAAAUUCUAAUGCAUAGACACUGUUCAAUGUUUGACUCUUUUAAGAUUAGCAUUUUAAAUAGCAUCACCAAAACAGCCCCAAGCAGUAUCAUCAUAGAUAUGAAGCAUCAGCAUUGUUAUUAAGGAACACUGGAAACAUAUAUUUUCGAGAUACUAUACUUGGUGAUGAUUACAUGCCUCCAACCUAUAUUGAUUGAUCAUCAUCGCUAAGAUAAACAGUAAUUUUAGCUUCAUACCUCCAAACUAUGCCUCCAACAUUCACAGAAUGAGUCGAGACGGAGCAACUGAAUGUGCGAUUUUUCCUUGGCCAGCAAAAGUAGAUGUUAAAGUAAAUUGUGAACUUAUCGAAUCUGAUCAUUAAUGUUUAUCAUCUUUCUGUGAGUCAAAUGUAGGUUUAGAUAGUAAGAUUAUUUGAUAAAAGGAUAGAUAUCAUGAAAGUGGACUGAUCUUGAUCUGUUGUUAGAGUUUGAUACUUAUUUGCUAAGUUCCUUGAAUAGUUGUUUGGUUCUUGAUAGUAAACCUCAUGGAUCAUCACCCUAGUUAGCUUCAUUUUAAUCUGAUGAGUGUACAGUUAGUAAUAGCUUUUUUUCUUUUUGGGUCAACUCAGUUAGUAGUAGUUAAGACAAUGCCCACAAGUUAAGAGAUAUGGGCAAGCGAGGCGGCUUUGUAUUUUUUUUUUCCCUUCUUUCUCUAAGAACAUUGGAAUAUUUCUCGAGCUAUUUACACUGAAACACACAAUUCUCAUCCUCAAUAACACAAAGACACACAUAAUACUGGUUGCACACUUUGUAUCAUGGAAAACGCCUACUAUAUCCUUAACUAGACACCAAACUAAUUCACAUCUCUUACAACUUAUCCUGUUUUCCCUUAUUAUUCUCGAAACCAAUGUCCCCUAAAACCAAAAAAAAUCCCCCAUUUUUUUCAUAUCUCUUCCAACUCGAUUAUCUUGUCCCCUCCACUUUCAAUCUCUGGCGAAGCUUCGUCCCCUCCACUUGCAAUUUCCAGCAAAGCUUCGUCCCCUCCACUUUUGAUCUCUAGAAAACAACCAUAUCAUUGUGAUUCCUCCUACAUCCUGACCUCCGAACCUCACCUUUUAAACCUUAGUUGUAAAAAUCUAUGUCGCUCUCUUCCCUCACCAUGACCGUAUGUAAAAGAUAUUCAAUCAUCCAAGUUUUUUGUUGUGCAAUUAAUUUAUGUAAUUUUAUUUCUCACAACCGAUUUUCCAGGUCGCAUAGUGUAGAGUGGAGCAUUGGCGUCAACUAUCAACCGUUUAAAAGUAAGCUAGUCCAUCUAAAAUGGUGAGAGAUAUUUCAACUCUCCACAAACGUAUUAGUGGCUUUACACAAUAGCACCAGCGGAUUCGAGACCCAAUUAAUCAUUAUUAGUCAAUAUACGUUUCCUUACAAAUUUUAUUUUAUAGCAGACAAAAGUCAAGUGAAAGAGAGUAGGAUAACGGAAAGAAAAUCAAUUAUCUUCAUAAAAAUAAGGAUAAGAUCCAAAUACUAUUGGAUCAUGACAUCUACAUCUACACGUAAAAGAUAAUGAACCUAGAAGUUGUCGACAUAGAUGUGAAAAUGUCUCUAAUAAUGACACAUAUCUAUUAAUUUCAUUUAACACGUCUCUAUAAUCACUUCAUUCACUUUAAUGUAUGAUAAAAUAUUAAUCUAUUGAAUGUGUCAUACCCUUUUUAUUCGAAAAAUAAUUUAUUAUUGGCUCUUUUUAGGCUUGUUGUUGGUUAAUCACUGUAUUGCUUGCUCGACUUUCAUUGUGACAUUUGUGCCGUGAGAAAAUCACCUUUCUAAAUUUUGGAUAAGUCGACAAUUGAGACAGGGCCCAGGGCUCAUAAUAAUAUUUUCUUACUCUUGCAAUAUAAAUGAGGGUUAUGUAAGUAAAUACUCCCUCCGUUUUUUUUUUAAUAUAAAUCGUUUUGGAAAAAAAAUUAUGUUUUAAAUUAUAUGACGUUUUCGGUUUUCUAUAUAUAAUUUAUUAACACUUAAUGUUAUAUGAUCAAUGAUAAUAUACCUUCUAUUUUAUUAUUGGUUAAUUUGUGAUUAGAUAAAUAAUUAAUGAUGUUUUUGUUUAGAAAAUAUAAAAAUUUAAUAAUUUUCUUAAUCUAUGUGAUUAAAAAACGGAGGGAGUACUGUGUUAUAUUACAAAGAAUCUGUAUUAAAAAUAAGUUAAGCCUACUUAAGUCGUUUUUAUGAUAGCCAUUUUUUCAGAUUAUUCUAUUAAACAUGUAAAAUAAUAUCAAAUAUAACAAGGAUAAAACAAAUAUACUAAGUUAUUUUUACAAUAAAAACAUUAAAACAAAAUUAUAUAAGCUCCAUUCCAAUGUUAAAUUAUAUCAAAUAUAAUUAAAACCAUUGAAAAGGAUUAAAUAAAAAACUAACUGAAAAUAUUAAAACACAAAUUUAAAUAUAAAGCCUGUACAAAACUUAAAAUACAAAAAUUCUGUACAAAUCAUAUUUUGUUAAUUUAUAAAACACAAAAAUAUGAUCAAGCUGUAGUACUUUGUAUACUACAAGAAAUCUGUAUAAAAAAUAAGCUAAAGCAUAAUUGCGUGUAUGACUGUCACUAACUAUUUCUGUCAUUGUUAAUUAGUUUUGAUUUAGAAACUCAUAGGAAUUUAUUAUUAUUCUGUCUGAUCUAGAAAUUUUAAUGUUUAAAAGCUAGUUGAGAUAUAUUUAUGUUUUUUUUAUAAGUUAUGUAAAAUUAAUGUUUAGUCUGUUUUAUACUUUUAACAUAAUUUACUUUCAUUAAAACUCAACUUUUUUAAUACAACAGAGUGAAGGAAUUAACCGUCUUCUUUGAUAAUAAACACAAUAACAAAAUAAGAUGAUAGAAAAUUUGAGACAAAUCUCGUAUCUGUCGGAAUAACCUUCACGACAAAGUUGGAUAGCUGAAAGUUAGUCACAUAAAAUCAUGAUGUCGAGCCCCAGCUUUCACCUACAAAAAAAACUGAAGUAGUCUUGAUUGCAUCUCCUUGCCUCAAAUAUACCAUUCCACAAAAUGAAAAAUCGGUGAGGAAACUGAAACUGAAAUACACUUCUCCAUUUGGUUAAGCAUAUCGACAAAAACCUUUUGAAGUAAACUGAUUGCAAUAAGAGAAACAAUUCAAGAAAUAAUCUGAGAAUAUACUUCUUCUUUCAUAGAGAUGAGUUCUUUCAGUCAAGUGGAUAAAAAUUUUAUUAGUGAUGUUUUACAAAAAGAUGUUGGAAUAUGAUUAUAAUAAUAAUAAUAUUAUUACUAGUCACCAAAAAGAGUAACCACUUACAAAAUUUAGGAAAUUUGGAAAAGCUGAGAAAAUAAUUGUUAUGUAACGAUUAAUGGGUCUUCUAUGUUCGUUCACUCGAUCUGUGUGUUUCAUUCCUUCUGAUGGCUGGUGAAUUAUUAUUUUUUGAAAUCUUGUUAGUUUUGUUUAAUGAUUCUGCAAUCACUACAUGAUCUUUUCAUGUGCUUCGAUCUCAUUCACACAUAUUGCGAACCACUUGCUGCUAACUCACCCAUUAUUUGACUACUCUAGUCAAGCACGCCUAAUUCUAGAAAUCUAUCUUGAUAUGCCUCCAAAAUAAUUACACUUUGCUGAUAUAAUUAAUCAAAACAAUUAUUUCAAGUCUUUCAACAUGUACUAUAAAUUAAAUUGAUACAAUAGUGUCUAAUGCAAAAGAUAGUUGACUGAGUAGGUGUGUGUAUGACAGAAGUGAUUCCAUCAGUUCAACAACGAGGUAGUUAUAUUAAACUGUGGAUAAUAAACUAAUAUAAGUUAAAUUAGAUAACAGUAGUGAGCUAGGUGAACAUAAAGUUUUUAAAAAUUGCAUAAAAAUUAAGAAAGUUUAAAAAAUUGCAUAAAAAAAUUGGUAAUAAAAAAACAGGCUUUCGAGAGGCCUUCACGCGCCUUAUCGUUUUCCCUCUCAAGCUUUUUUUUUCCUUGUUUAUGAGGAGGUUUCUGGCUCCGGCAAGCUUUGCUGAUUCGUGUGGAGAUCUCCCUCCCUCUUUUUUUUUGGCAUAUGAUCUAUUAAACAGAACAGACGAGCUCUAGUUUAGAUCAGAGGCGCUUCUCUUCUUCUCCGAGCGUCGGUGGGUCCUCUGGUGCAGUGGUCCUUAAGAUAUAUCUGGUGCUUUAGUGACAUGUAGGAGUUGAUGGUGUAUUCACUGUUAGAGGAUGAUGGUGAGGCCAUCUGACUUCGUUAGUCAGUCAUCGGGCUGUGAAGUCUUGUCUUGAUUGUUGAGAGGUUUGUUGACGUCAUGCAACCCUGGGUGAUGGUGGUUCACUAGGUGAUGUUUUGACCGGUUUGAAGUUAGUGAACCGUGUAGACCCUCAGACCUGUGAAAUGGAGAGCCUCUGGAGAAACUGAGGCGUUUAGGAUUUUGGGAGUUGGAAUAUAUUUUGGGAUCUGGCGAUAAUUGGCUGUGGGACACCUCUAAAGGUGGGUACUCUAAAAAUAAACCAAUGACGGUCCACUUGCUGGUCUUGUACACGCCAGUCUUUGGAGAGAUCCGGACAGUUGGAAGUUUUGGCUAUCAGUGUUCAUUGGAGCAGUCAUUUAUGCAUUUUUCUCUUCUUCUCAUGCCCGAUUAGUUUCUUUUCUGCAUGUUUCAGUUUGCUUUAACUUUUUCCUGUAAUUUAGGUUCUAAUGUUUCUACGAAACACCGGAAAAUGCUUGUUGCCGAUACCUGUUUAUGGGUUAAAUUUAACGUAUUUACUAUUUAAAAAUUGGUUAUUGAAAUUUUUUUACUAGCAAGAAAAUUAGUGAGGAACAUUAUAAAUCCUUUAUCCACUUUAUAAGAUAUUUUGGCUAAAACACUAGGAUAAAAAAACUACAAAUACUUUCGUUUUCACAAGAAUUUUUCUUUUAUUUAAUAUUUAACUAAAAUUACUUAAUAAAAGCACAAACUUAAUCGGAAACUAUUAAGGUACAGAAUAUUAAAGAAGUAUCAAAUUUUCAAAAAAAAAUUGAAGAAGAAAACAUUAAAUAAAA